RNAcentral lists this ribosomal RNA (1412 nucleotides) under uncultured bacterium. Its description in RNAcentral is "bacterial SSU rRNA". It matches the Rfam family "Bacterial small subunit ribosomal RNA". The record is from RNAcentral.
AGAGUUUGUUCCUGGCUCAGGAUGAACGCUAGCGACAGGCUUAACACAUGCAAGUCGAGGGGCAGCGGGGUAGGAAGCUUGCUUUCUGCCGCCGGCGACCGGCGCACGGGUGAGUAACACGUAUGCAACCUGGCCGUGACUGAUGGAUAACCGGGAGAAAUCCCGCCUAAUACAACAUAAUGCCGGGAGGGGACAUCCCCUGCCGGCCAAAGGGGGCGACCCCGGUCACGGGUGGGCAUGCGGCGCAUUAGGUAGUUGGUGGGGCAACGGCCCACCAAGCCGACGAUGCGUAGGGGUUCUGAGAGGAAGGUCCCCCACAUUGGAACUGAGACACGGUCCAAACUCCUACGGGAGGCAGCAGUGAGGAAUAUUGGUCAAUGGCCGGAAGGCUGAACCAGCCAAGUCGCGUGAGGGAAUAAGGCCCUACGGGUCGUAAACCUCUUUUGCCAGGGAGCAAUGCCGUCCACGUGUGGACGGAAGGAGAGUACCUGGAGAAAAAGCAUCGGCUAACUCCGUGCCAGCAGCCGCGGUAAUACGGAGGAUGCGAGCGUUAUCCGGAUUUAUUGGGUUUAAAGGGUGCGUAGGCGGCCUGCCAAGUCAGCGGUAAAAUUGCGGGGCUCAACCCCGUACAGCCGUUGAAACUGCCGGGCUCGAGUGGGCGAGAAGUAUGCGGAAUGCGUGGUGUAGCGGUGAAAUGCAUAGAUAUCACGCAGAACCCCGAUUGCGAAGGCAGCAUACCGGCGCCCGACUGACGCUGAGGCACGAAAGUGCGGGGAUCAAACAGGAUUAGAUACCCUGGUAGUCCGCACAGUAAACGAUGAAUGCUAGCUGUCCGGGGGGGAUUGACCCCUGGGUGGCACAGCGAAAGCGUUAAGCAUUCCACCUGGGGAGUACGCCGGCAACGGUGAAACUCAAAGGAAUUGACGGGGGCCCGCACAAGCGGAGGAACAUGUGGUUUAAUUCGAAGCAACGCGAAGAACCUUACCUGGUCUUGACAUCCCAGUGACGCAUGAGUAAAGUCAUGUUUCCUUCGGGACACUGGAGACAGGUGGUGCAUGGUUGUCGUCAGCUCGUGUCGUGAGAUGUUGGGUUAAGUCCCGCAACGAGCGCAACCCCUAUUUCCAGUAGCCAGCAUGUAAAGAUGGGCACUCUGGAGAGACUGCCUAGGAUAACUAGGAGGAAGGCGGGGAUGACGUCAAAUCAUCAUGCCCCUUAUGAUCAGGGCUACACACGUGCUACAAUGGCGUAAACAAAGGGAAGCGAAGUGGUGACGCCAAGCAAAUCCCAAAAAUAACGUCUCAGUUCGGAUUAUAGUCUGCAACUCGACUACAUGAAGCUGGAAUCGCUAGUAAUCGCGAAUCAGAAUGUCGCGGUGAAUACGAAGCCGGGUCUUGCACUCACCGCCCGUCAAG